This 99-nucleotide signal recognition particle RNA is filed under the name Ligaoa zhengdingensis. RNAcentral's name for it is "Bacterial small signal recognition particle RNA". It matches the Rfam family "Bacterial small signal recognition particle RNA". From Rfam's summary of the family: The signal recognition particle (SRP) is a universally conserved ribonucleoprotein involved in the co-translational targeting of proteins to membranes. Archaeal SRP consists of a 7S RNA and homologues of the eukaryotic SRP19 and SRP54 proteins. Lineage: Bacteria; Bacillati; Bacillota; Clostridia; Eubacteriales; Oscillospiraceae. The record is from Rfam by way of RNAcentral.
AUGCGGGUCCUGUGCGACAGAACGUCGUGAACCAUGUCAGGCGGGGAACCGAGCAGCAUUAAGCGGCCGUUUCUGUGCGCCGCAGGUAACCUGUGUACC